GCUUUUCCGGAUGCUACGGCACUGUGCCGCGGCGUCGCCGCCGGUGAGAGAGAGAACCCUUUCGUCAGUUGGGUCUCGGCCGCCGUCAACGUCAAUACGACGAGGGCGCACGAGAGUAACAUCGUCGCCUCGGCUCCGGUUAGCGCCGAGGUCGCACACACUCGGCGUUCGUCGACGGGAGGAACGCGAGGAACCUGGCCAUUCGGCGCUACGUGUGUAUCUUUUCCCCGAUCGUAUCUUGCCGAUAUUUUCUUAUCAUUUUCAUUUUUUUUUCCGACGUACACUCCAUCUGAUCUCUUUGUCUUCUCUCUUUCUCUCUUCUCUCUCUCUCUCUCAUCUUUUUUCUCUCUUUCUCCUCCUUUCUCUCUAUCUUCCUUCAUGCUCUUCGAUACCUUCGCGUCCCGAUAUCAGUCGACCGGUGCAACGGUACUGCGUUUAUGUGCAUCGUGAGUGGCACCGAUAGUGGAUAAUGAGAGAUAGUGGAGGACCCAUCAAUCGGGUGUGAUCGGGUAAAAGGCUAGAAUUGCGUGCUCGAUGCAGUGUAUGCAACCGGCGAGGGUACGGCCGGUGGUUGCUGUUUCUUACGAUCCUCAUGGGAGUGCCCGCGAGUUCUGUCUCCGAGUGCGACGGCGGCGGCGAACACGCCGGAUGUGAAUAAUAGAAGAGAGAGAAUGCUCGACGUUAUUAGAGCGUCGGCCCAAUGUAUAAUAAUUCUACGAGACUUAUGUAUGAACGCAUACUUCUCAACGAUCGACAAUCAAUUUCGUGUUCUGUCCUGUAUCAUCGCACCAAGAGCUUCAUAUUCUUCGUUACCGGAAAUCAUCUAACACGUUAAAUUGCAUUCAGCUGAGCUUCAUCCUCGUACAAAGUAAAGAGAUAUUUUCUAGAAUUCGUAAAAUGAAAUGCAUAAUUUGAUGUAUGUGUAAUUACAAAGGUGAAAGCGUGUAAAUGUAUCGCGAAUGCAUGUGUAAUCGAAUAACGUUAUCCGGACGAGUGCAAAUUAAACUCUUAUUCGUGUCAGCUGAUCGUGAUGCGUGAUUGAGCGCAAAAGUCGACAAUAACAAAAUUUCGUUCUCUCGCCAACUUUUUUCGCACUGAUUCUGGUUCGGGUUAUCGUACAAAUAUCAAAAUGGAAAAUCUGUGCAUAAAAGUGCAUUUGAUCCGACAGUUACGUGACGCAGAAAAUUACUCGUGUUUGUUGACUGUGGAUAGAAACUACUAAAAUCUUUUGCGAUGCAUCGUGUGUUUUUAGCCACCUGAGAAAUGUGGGUAGGAACGAUUUAACGAGAGUGAUUAGAACUUAUCGAUGUUACGUUAACCGAAAGAGCAAUGUGGUAAUGAAGAAUUCGAAAUAAAUAUUGACACUGUAAAUAAACUGCUCUAAUUGAUUUUAUAAUUUAAUGUUUACUAUAUGAAAAAUUGAUUGAAAGAAUUUCUGACGAUUCCGACUUCGCGAUUCGCUAUAUCAAAACUAUUUUGCAUGAUAACAUCUGUUCGAUACGAUAUAAAGAAACUACGAUCACGCUGAUUGAAAUACAGAUAUAAAGAAGCAAAUUGUCGGUGUGAUCGUAUAGCUAGCAUAAUUUUAUAUAUCAUUAUUAUACACAAGAAGGAAAAUACAAUCGAUAAUAAUACAGUAGAUUCAACAAGUAAUAAUAGAUAAAAAUAGAUUCUAAAAAUUCAUGAAGAGAAAAAUGACUUAACGAUGAGGGAAUCUCUAUAUGAAAAUGUGGUCAGCAUUAUCUAAAUUAUAUUACAAAGAGUUUGCGGAAGAAUAUGCAAAUGCUUAGUUGCUAGCUUAGCUGCAAUUUUUCGUCUUAGAGUUUACCAAGUCGUGUUAAGUAUCCGACGAGUACGAGACAAAUUAAGAGCGACGAGAGAACUUGUUAGGUUAGACAUGCUCAGUUUAUACCUCGUUAUACUUGGAGUUACUUUGGACCUAAAAUAGACGAGUGGAAGUGUGCGUGAAUGUCGUGGAGAUGAGGAAAUAAGGAAAUAAAGACGUAAAAAUUCGUGCGCGAGAACAGCAUUAUUAGUUUUGACUUUCUUAUACGGAGGAUAUAAAUACGAGAGGAAUCUAAAAUUAUUCUAUAGUAUUUGGGAUAUUUAGUGAAGGUAUUAAAAAUAUAUGAAGCCAAAUUUUCGUGAGACUAAUGCACUAAUAAAAAGGACCGAUCUUUGUAAGACGCGAUAAUAUUAAUUUGACGACACAGAUUAAACACAUAUCAUAAGUGUAAAUCAAGAGUGUCAAGAGAGGAUGAGGGAAUUUAUGACAUGCGAGGCAAGGAUUUGAAAGCAGACAUUUUCCAUUAAUCAUUUUCUGGGAUAAAGGGCAAAGUUGCUUGUGGUUAGCAGCCUCGGGCAACGUUCAAAAUUUCCUUAUUUAAGGACUGAGGGGCAUAGAUGAAAAAGCUGCGGAUACAUUUAAUCAUGUGGGCAAGAGGACAGGAAGGCGAAGAGUGACAGAAGAUAACAAACAAAGUCAACAGUGACAUCAAACAAAGUGUUAAAGCAAAGGGCAACGUGCUGAUAAUUGUUUCAUUAAUCUAUGUUGCUAUUACGAGAUGAUAUACAACAAUGAACUCUGUGAAAGGAUCAACAUCGAGAGCAAAGAUAAAAUUUGAUAAACUGGGAUGUUCGUUGAAAAACGGGAGAUUUAAAGAUUUCUCGAUAUUUAGAAACAGGGGAGAUUUAAAGAUUCCUCAAUAUUUAAGAACACGAUUUGUGAAUGAUCUACAUGAAUCAUGCUGAUAUAAGAAAUAAUAAAUAACAAAUAAAUCCUUUAGAAAAAAAGUACAAUUUUUCCGGAAGCAAUGAUGGACGAUUUUUUAAGCUUCGUGUUCUUAAUUUCUUGAAAUAACGGAGUGUGCGACAGGAAAAUUGUCAUGGUAUCUAAAAGGUAAAUCUAUGUAUCAAGACGACCUAAGUAUGAUGCCAAGCGUAAUUUGAAUAUGAAUUUGUUUAAUGUGUACAAUGUUAAAUGUAUCAUGAUGGAAAUUUUAAUAGCUUUUCGAUAUUCAGUUGAUCCAUCGUGUAAAUUUGAUUGCCAGCAUACACAGAUAGAGACAAUUUCCCGAUAAUUGCCGAAGUAAACCGUUCUAUGAGACAGAAAAAAAAAACUGAAACAAGGAAGAAAUUAACAUUGUGUAUAUUUUUCAUGUUGAAGUUCUAUCACGCAAUUGUGGAAUAUCUGAUAAUGAGAGACAGAGAGAAAUAUAUGCUUCCUUAUUAGCAUUAUUUUUAACAGAUAAAGCGUAUGAAAGAUAUAUAUUUAUGUGAAACUUCGAAAAUCAUGUACCUUGUGCAAACAUUGCAACAUAUCCUAAUCAUUGCAAGCGAAACAAGCGAGAAUAACCAAAAGCAAAAUGUACAACUAAAUCCGUUCAAAGAAAAAAAACGAAAGUCUGGCAAGGACAAUCUUUUACGUAUUUAAAUUUAUACUGACGUAAGAUACACACUUUGCAAAGAGCAAAUUGAACAUAUGAAUUUCACCUGACGCAUCAUGAAAAAA
This is a long non-coding RNA of Formica exsecta, 3511 nucleotides long. RefSeq lists it as uncharacterized. The transcript has 2 exons. The record is from RefSeq and is a predicted model, not a curated record. NCBI's taxonomy places the organism in Eukaryota, Metazoa, Arthropoda, Insecta, Hymenoptera, Formicidae.